GGAUUAGAUACCCUGGUAGUCCACGCCGUAAACGAUGUUCACUAGUUGCUGUGUUCCGAUUUGAGAAUGCAGUGACAAAGCUAACGCAUUAAGUGAACCGCCUGGGGAGUACGGUCGCAAGAUUAAAACUCAAAGGAAUUGACGGGGACCCGCACAAGCGGUGGAGCAUGUGGUUUAAUUCGAAGCAACGCGAAGAACCUUACCUAGGCUUGAAAUCCCGAGAAAAUUCGGUAAUUCGAAUUGUGCCUCUUCGGAGGAACUCGGUGACAGGUGCUGCAUGGCUGUCGUCAGCUCGUGUUG
RNAcentral lists this ribosomal RNA (300 nucleotides) under uncultured bacterium. RNAcentral's name for it is "partial 16S ribosomal RNA". It matches the Rfam family "Bacterial small subunit ribosomal RNA", at positions 775 to 1067 of the family's 1533-position model. The record is from RNAcentral.